RNAcentral lists this ribosomal RNA (528 nucleotides) under Fusarium sp. E9110a. Its description in RNAcentral is "eukaryotic LSU rRNA". The stretch from base 171 to 324 matches the Rfam family "5.8S ribosomal RNA". Lineage: Eukaryota; Fungi; Ascomycota; Sordariomycetes; Hypocreales; Nectriaceae. The record is from RNAcentral.
UGAACCUGCGGAGGGAUCAUUACCGAGUUUACAACUCCCAAACCCCUGUGAACAUACCUUAUGUUGCCUCGGCGGAUCAGCCCGCGCCCCGUAAAAAGGGACGGCCCGCCGCAGGAACCCUAAACUCUGUUUUUAGUGGAACUUCUGAGUAUAAAAAACAAAUAAAUCAAAACUUUCAACAACGGAUCUCUUGGUUCUGGCAUCGAUGAAGAACGCAGCAAAAUGCGAUAAGUAAUGUGAAUUGCAGAAUUCAGUGAAUCAUCGAAUCUUUGAACGCACAUUGCGCCCGCCAGUAUUCUGGCGGGCAUGCCUGUUCGAGCGUCAUUUCAACCCUCAAGCCCAGCUUGGUGUUGGGAGCUGCAGUCCUGCUGCACUCCCCAAAUACAUUGGCGGUCACGUCGAGCUUCCAUAGCGUAGUAAUUUACACAUCGUUACUGGUAAUCGUCGCGGCCACGCCGUUAAACCCCAACUUCUGAAUGUUGACCUCGGAUCAGGUAGGAAUACCCGCUGAACUUAAGCAUAUCAAUA